AAAGUCGUAACAAGGUUUCCGUAGGUGAACCUGCGGAAGGAUCAUUAGAAUAUCGGGAAUUUAUUUUCCUAAUACUUUAUUCAAAAAAUUUUCAAUCUACAAAUUUUUUUUUUUAAAAAAAAUGAAAAAUAUAAAUUAAGAUAACUUUCAACAACGGAUCUCUAGGUUCUU
RNAcentral lists this unclassified non-coding RNA (171 nucleotides) under Glomeromycotina sp. Its description in RNAcentral is "partial contains small subunit ribosomal RNA, internal transcribed spacer 1, and 5.8S ribosomal RNA". The stretch from base 1 to 47 matches the Rfam family "Eukaryotic small subunit ribosomal RNA", at positions 1785 to 1831 of the family's 1831-position model. Lineage: Eukaryota; Fungi; Glomeromycota. The record is from RNAcentral.